This 78-nucleotide ribosomal RNA is filed under the name Deronectes parvicollis. RNAcentral's name for it is "partial 12S ribosomal RNA". The record is from RNAcentral. Lineage: Eukaryota; Metazoa; Arthropoda; Insecta; Coleoptera; Dytiscidae.
CAUAUCGCCCGUCACUCUUAUUAUAAGAUAAGAUAAGUCGUAACAAAGUAGAUGUACUGGAAAGUGUAUCUAGAAUGA